Molecule: ribosomal RNA, 535 nt
Filed under: uncultured bacterium
Lineage: Bacteria
Description: bacterial LSU rRNA
Rfam family: Bacterial large subunit ribosomal RNA
Source: RNAcentral
AUAGGUGUAGGCGCAGCGAAAGCGAGUCUUAAAAGGGCGCAUGAGUUCGUUGGAUCAGACCCGAAACCAGAUGAUCUAGCCAUGAGCAGGAUGAAGGUUGGGUAACACCAACUGGAGGUCCGAACCAACACCCGUUGAAAAGGGUCUGGAUGACUUGUGGCUAGGGGUGAAAAGGCCCAAUCAAAUCUGGAGAUAGCUGGUUCUCCGCGAAAGCUAUUUAGGUAGCGCCUCGGACGAAUACCUACGGGGGUAGAGCACUGCCUGGGCAAUGGGGUCCCACAGACUUACUGAGCCUAUGCAAACUCCGAAUACCGUAGAGUACUAUCCGGGAGACACACGGCGGGUGCUAACGUCCGUCGUGAAGAGGGAAACAACCCUGACCUGCAGCUAAGGCCCCUAAUUCGUGGCUAAGUGGGAAAGCAUGUGGGACGGCCAAAACAACCAGGAGGUUGGCUUAGAAGCAGCCAUCCUUUAAAGAUAGCGUAACAGCUCACUGGUCUAGAUAAGCUGUCCUGCGGCGAAGAUGUAACGGGGC